AACGAACGCUGGCGGCAGGCCUAACACAUGCAAGUCGAGCGCACCUUCGGGUGAGCGGCGGACGGGUUAGUAACGCGUGGGAACGUACCCUUUUCUACGGAAUAGCCUUUGGAAACGAAGAGUAAUACCGUAUACGCCCUUUGGGGGAAAGAUUUAUCGGAGAAGGAUCGGCCCGCGUUAGAUUAGAUAGUUGGUGGGGUAACGGCUUACCAAGUCUACGAUCUAUAGCUGGUUUUAGAGGAUGAUCAGCAACACUGGGACUGAGACACGGCCCAGACUCCUACGGGAGGCAGCAGUGGGGAAUCUUAGACAAUGGGCGCAAGCCUGAUCUAGCCAUGCCGCGUGAGUGAUGAAGGCCUUAGGGUCGUAAAGCUCUUUCGCCUGUGAUGAUAAUGACAGUAGCAGGUAAAGAAACCCCGGCUAACUCCGUGCCAGCAGCCGCGGUAAUACGGAGGGGGUUAGCGUUGUUCGGAAUUACUGGGCGUAAAGCGCACGUAGGCGGAUUGGAAAGUUGGGGGUGAAAUCCCGGGGCUCAACCCCGGAACUGCCUCCAAAACUAUCAGUCUAGAGUUCGAGAGAGGUGAGUGGAAUUCCAAGUGUAGAGGUGAAAUUCGUAGAUAUUUGGAGGAACACCAGUGGCGAAGGCGGCUCUACUGGCUCGAUACUGAC
RNAcentral lists this ribosomal RNA (669 nucleotides) under bacterium IMCC11089. RNAcentral's name for it is "bacterial SSU rRNA". It matches the Rfam family "Bacterial small subunit ribosomal RNA", at positions 28 to 744 of the family's 1533-position model. The record is from RNAcentral.